RNAcentral lists this ribosomal RNA (253 nucleotides) under uncultured bacterium. RNAcentral's name for it is "partial 16S ribosomal RNA". It matches the Rfam family "Bacterial small subunit ribosomal RNA", at positions 524 to 776 of the family's 1533-position model. The record is from RNAcentral.
UACGUAGGGUGCAAGCGUUAAUCGGAAUUACUGGGCGUAAAGCGUGCGCAGGCGGUCUGCUAAGAGAGAUGUGAAAUCCCCGGGCUUAACCUGGGAACUGCGUUUCUAACUGGCAGGCUUGAGUGUGGCAGAGGGGGGUGGAAUUCCACGUGUAGCAGUGAAAUGCGUAGAGAUGUGGAGGAACACCGAUGGCGAAGGCAGCCCCCUGGGCUAACACUGACGCUCAUGCACGAAAGCGUGGGGAGCAAACAGG